CAUUACCGAGUUAUACAACUCAUCAACCCUGUGAACAUACCUAUAACGUUGCCUCGGCGGGAACAGACGGCCCCGUAACACGGGCCGCCCCCGCCAGAGGACCCCCUAACUCUGUUUCUAUAAUGUUUCUUCUGAGUAAACAAGCAAAUAAAUUAAAACUUUCAACAACGGAUCUCUUGGCUCUGGCAUCGAUGAAGAACGCAGCGAAAUGCGAUAAGUAAUGUGAAUUGCAGAAUUCAGUGAAUCAUCGAAUCUUUGAACGCACAUUGCGCCCGCCAGUAUUCUGGCGGGCAUGCCUGUUCGAGCGUCAUUACAACCCUCAGGCCCCCGGGCCUGGCGUUGGGGAUCGGCGGAAGCCCCCUGCGGGCACAACGCCGUCCCCCAAAUACAGUGGCGGUCCCGCCGCAGCUUCCAUUGCGUAGUAGCUAACACCUCGCAACUGGAGAGCGGCGCGGCCACGCCGUAAAACACCCAACUUCUGAAUGUUGACCUCGAAUCAGGUAGGAAUACCCGCUGAACUUAAGCAUAUCAAUAAGCGGAGGAAA
Molecule: ribosomal RNA, 545 nt
Filed under: fungal sp. ARIZ B043
Lineage: Eukaryota; Fungi
Description: eukaryotic LSU rRNA
Rfam family: 5.8S ribosomal RNA (bases 157-310)
Source: RNAcentral